This 650-nucleotide ribosomal RNA is filed under the name uncultured bacterium. Its description in RNAcentral is "bacterial SSU rRNA". It matches the Rfam family "Bacterial small subunit ribosomal RNA", at positions 777 to 1426 of the family's 1533-position model. The record is from RNAcentral.
AUUAGAUACCCGGGUAGUCCACGCUGUAAACGUUGGGCGCUAGGUGUGGGGGGCCUCUCCGGUUUCCUGUGCCGUAGCUAACGCAUUAAGCGCCCCGCCUGGGGAGUACGGCCGCAAGGCUAAAACUCAAAGGAAUUGACGGGGGCCCGCACAAGCGGCGGAGCAUGCGGAUUAAUUCGAUGCAACGCGAAGAACCUUACCUGGGUUUGACAUCACUCGAAAACUCGCGGAGACGCGGGGUCCUUCGGGGCGGGUGACAGGUGGUGCAUGGCUGCCGUCAGCUCGUGUCGUGAGAUGUUGGGUUAAGUCCCGCAACGAGCGCAACCCUCGUUCCAUGUUGCCAGCGGGUUAUGCCGGGGACUCAUGGGAGACUGCCGGGGUCAACUCGGAGGAAGGUGGGGAUGACGUCAAGUCAUCAUGCCCCUUAUGUCCAGGGCUUCACGCAUGCUACAAUGGCCGGUACAAUGGGCUGCGAUGCCGUGAGGUGGAGCGAAUCCCAAAAAGCCGGUCUCAGUUCGGAUCGGGGUCUGCAACUCGACCCCGUGAAGUCGGAGUCGCUAGUAAUCGCAGAUCAGCAUUGCUGCGGUGAAUACGUUCCCGGGCCUUGUACACACCGCCCGUCACGUCACGAAAGUCGGCAACACCCGAAG